AAUGGUCAAAUUAUUUUUUAACAGCAUACUAUUUAUUUAUAUUGUCAUGGUUGAAAUUAUAAGAGUAAGGCACAAUUUCUAUUUCUGAUCUAGUUUUCCAUUCGCUUUACCCAGUAACUAUUAUAUUUAAUUUUAAAGAUCUUCCAGAGUUUAUCUGGCUCAAGUUUUAUUUUAUUUAAAUGCUUUCCUAAACUUGUCAAGAUUACUGAGUGUGGCCAUGUUGCUAUAGAGUAUAAGUAUUAUGUGUAGUCAGUAUUUACAAGGUAUUUAUUUUAGUUAUUUCUUGACUAACUUCAGGGUUGGGAAUAAUAAUGAAAUAUCAUUAUCUCUUCUAAACAAAUUAAUGCUACUUGAGCUCAACAUGACAAAUUUUCUAAUCCAAAUAAGUUAUCCUCUUUCAGAGCCCUGAGCCCAGGUAGCUUUUACUUUAAUUUUAUGGGUGAAUUUGCAGUCUAAUUAAUUUUCUAGUAUCUUUUAAAAGAGGCCUGUGGCCAGGUAAUGACAAGGACAGAUUUCCCUUCCACUGUGUUCCAUGGAUACCAGGAUAUAGAUGACUCUAUCAGCAAAUGCAGCUUGGCAAUAAAGUAUCAUGAAUCAAUCCUAACAGUGACUCAUCUUUCUUGACAUCCUCUUCAAUGGCAAUCCCGCCUGCGAGAAGAAGCUCUUGCUUUUUUCUGAAUACUGAUACAUGUGGUCAGAAUAUUAGAGAAGGAAGGAUGGUCUAGAAGCAAUAAAACAAAAUUCUAGUUUCACCAUGAUUGCAGGACUAAAAGUUGUUCUGGUGCGUUGGUGAGUCAGGAGUAGAGAAGUUUUUAUAUUCUAUUUUU
Molecule: long non-coding RNA, 827 nt
Filed under: Homo sapiens (human)
Lineage: Eukaryota; Metazoa; Chordata; Mammalia; Primates; Hominidae
Description: HSALNT0071133
Source: RNAcentral